Molecule: ribosomal RNA, 447 nt
Filed under: uncultured bacterium
Lineage: Bacteria
Description: bacterial SSU rRNA
Rfam family: Bacterial small subunit ribosomal RNA
Source: RNAcentral
UUAAGAAUAUUGCGCAAUGGGCGAAAGCCUGACCCAGCAACGCCGCGUGAAGGAUGAAGUAUUUCGGUAUGUAAACUUCGAAAGAAUAGGAAGAAUAAAUGACGGUACUAUUUAUAAGGUCCGGCUAACUACGUGCCAGCAGCCGCGGUAAUACGUAGGGACCAAGCGUUGUUCGGAUUUACUGGGCGUAAAGGGCGCGUAGGCGGCAAUUCAAGUCAUCUGUGAAAUCUCCGGGCUUAACUCGGAACGGUCAGAUGAUACUGCUUUGCUAGAGUGCAGAAGGGGCAAUCGGAAUUCUUGGUGUAGCGGUGAAAUGCGUAGAUAUCAAGAGGAACACCUGAGGUGAAGACGGGUUGCUGGGCUGACACUGACGCUGAGGCGCGAAAGCCAGGGGAGCAAACGGGAUUAGAUACCCCAGUAGUCCCUGAGCGGGCUGGCAAGGCGCAU